GUGCUGGUUGUGCUUCCGCUGCCCUCGCCGUCUCCCGGGCACACAGCGCCCGCCUUCCCUCACGCUCCCCCCGCUUCCCGCCCCGGCCGGCCAGCCGAGCGGGAACUGAAGUAAAAUCCCCCAAGAUGAAGCAAGGUCAUAGGUAACAUGCAGGAGUGGAGCGUGUUGACUCUGCGAAGGAAGGAAACUUCUGUUCUAACUCUCCGUCAAGUGGUCUCAACUGCUGGGCUGAGUUAUGAUCUCAGCGUUGCCUUCUUGUGUCUGACCAAUGCUGCGGUAGCUGCUGGAAACUCCCGAUUUUGGCCAGGAUCCCAUAGAUACUGCACAGAUAUAGCCCAAAGACCAACUUUGCUCACAGGACACCAUGAAUAUACACUACACCAGCCUGGAUUGCUUCCUCUGGGCAGCUCAGCUUCCUAAAG
Molecule: long non-coding RNA, 422 nt
Organism: Columba livia (rock pigeon)
Lineage: Eukaryota; Metazoa; Chordata; Aves; Columbiformes; Columbidae
Exons: 3
Source: RefSeq, a predicted model, not a curated record